CAAUGGUAAGCUUUAAUACAUAAAAAGUUUUUGUAUUUUUAAUGUUUUGCAAUUUUCUGACCGGAUUAUUUGGAAUGAUGAAUCUUUUGUACCAGUUGUCUAUCAUUUCAGCAAAGGAAACAACUUAUUUUGAU
Long non-coding RNA from Amphimedon queenslandica, 134 nucleotides. RefSeq lists it as uncharacterized. Lineage: Eukaryota; Metazoa; Porifera; Demospongiae; Haplosclerida; Niphatidae. The record is from RefSeq and is a predicted model, not a curated record. The transcript has 2 exons.